AGAGCGAACGCUGGCGGCAGGCCUAACACAUGCAAGUCGAACGGACUCUUCGGAGUUAGUGGCGGACGGGUGAGUAACACGUGGGAACGUGCCUUUUGGUUCGGAAUAGCUCCUGGAAACGGGUGGUAAUGCCGAAUGUGCCCUUCGGGGGAAAGAUUUAUCGCCAUUAGAGCGGCCCGCGUCUGAUUAGCUAGUUGGUGAGGUAAAGGCUCACCAAGGCUACGAUCAGUAGCUGGUCUGAGAGGAUGACCAGCCACAUUGGGACUGAGACACGGCCCAAACUCCUACGGGAGGCAGCAGUGGGGAAUCUUGCGCAAUGGGCGAAAGCCUGACGCAGCCAUGCCGCGUGAAUGAUGAAGGUCUUAGGAUUGUAAAAUUCUUUCAGUAGGACGAUAAUGACGUACCUACAGAAGAAGACCCCGGCUAACCUUCGACGCCCAGCAGCCGC
This 448-nucleotide ribosomal RNA is filed under the name uncultured soil bacterium. Its description in RNAcentral is "bacterial SSU rRNA". It matches the Rfam family "Bacterial small subunit ribosomal RNA", at positions 26 to 518 of the family's 1533-position model. The record is from RNAcentral.